Camellia sinensis is the source of this 520-nucleotide non-coding RNA. The record is from RefSeq and is a predicted model, not a curated record. NCBI's taxonomy places the organism in Eukaryota, Viridiplantae, Streptophyta, Magnoliopsida, Ericales, Theaceae.
AAAAAACUUUUCAUCUCCUUGAUUAGAACUUUGUGCCCUAAUCUAUCUAUAGUUCCUUCACAAAGCUGUAACAGAGAACCAUCGUGAGUUCAUACUCCACCGUGAGGACGGUUCAUCCACCACCGUGAGUUCAUCCUCCAUCAUCAGGAUGGUUCGUCCUCCACACCGUGAGUUCAUCCUGCACCGACAUCAAGCUACAGCACCACCGUGAGUUCCAGAUCAAGGGAAAGGAUUCCAUAAAGAUCUUAUAAAGCUGAUCUCAGAUGCUGUGAACAUCCCUGUGAUCGCUAGUAGUGGUGCAGGAGCAGUUUGAACACUUCUCGGAGGUUUUCACUAAAACAAAUGCAUCUGCUGCUCUUGCUGUUGGCAUUUUCAAUCGGAAGGAGCUAUCGAAUUAGGCUGCCCACUGAGAAGGAGCAGGAAAUGGUUGUUUCAAAGGUUGUUAAGAAAAUGCGGUACUAUGAAUCCACCCUCCUAUCUACAAACAAGGGAUACUUGCAGAGGUUGAUAGCCUUAGGAC